CUUGGCGCGAAGAGGAAGUGAGGUGGAGCUGCGGACUGGAUCUCAGCCGUUCGCUGCCUCUGGCGGUCUCAGCUCGCUGCGGAGAAAAGCACGUGCCUCUCACUGUCGUGGUUUGACUCGUACUUUGGUCAUGAGGAAAUGACGAAGCGGACACACUGGCCUGAGUUCGAUGGAUUGAGACUUCACCAUCUGAGAACAUUGCCCGUUGGUUACAUCAGAAGCUAUGGCAUGCUGGACAAAAGACAAUGUGGGCAGCUGCUAAAGCAUGGGGGCUGCCCAUACAGCUAUCUGAUAUUGCCGAAGCAUGCUGAGACUGCGACGCUUGCUCUAAGAUGACACCAAGGUCAUUGCCCAAAACAACAGCCCACCUUGCUAGAGGACACAAUCCUCUCCAGUGAUGGCAGGUUGAUUACAUUGGGCCCCUCUCUCAGUCUGAGGGGGCGAGAUAUGCCCUGACCUGCGUCGAUACUGCAAGUGGACUACUGCAGACCUAUCCAGUGCCAAGAGCAAACCAGGCAUAUACCAUCAAGGCACUUACUAAGCUGGAUGUCUGCCUAUGAGACACCUCAAGUCAUUGAGAGUGACCAAGGGACCCAUUUUACUGGUGCAAUGAUACAAUGCUGGGCAGAAGAAAACAACAUUGAGUGGCGAUCCCACCUGGCAUAUAAUGCAAUGGGGGCAGGCCUUAUUAAACAUUAUAACGGUAUUCUUAAGGCUGCCCCCUGAAGACAGACUCCUAGUCCUUGCAGGGGUGGACAAAAAGACUCUAUGAAACCCUGCAGAACCUGAAUGAAAGACCUUGAGACAGCAGACUCAGUGCCCUGAAAAUGCUACAGACAACGUGGGCCUCCCCGCUUCAGAUCCAAAUUACGGGCACUGAUAAUCAGGUUGGUAACUGACCCCAGAUUGGUAAUGAGAAUAAUCUUCUGCUCCCUGCCCCUGAGAAUCUAGAUCCAGGUACCCAUAGAAUAAAAUGGCCUUGGAAGGUGCAGGUAGGACCAAAGUGGUGUGGCCUACUUGCACCUUGGGGACGAUUAUUGGAGAUGGGAGGCUCAGUAGUCCCUCCGGUAAUGGGUACACGGCCUAUGGAUAUUGUGGUCAACACUCUGGUCUUCAUUGCUAAAGGAACCCCCAUCAUAUCCCUAUGGCAGAUCAGGACACCCCCUUUGGUGCCUGAUACAAUUCUGCAGCCGCAGACAUCUGGAAAGAAGUAAUGGUACAGGCAGCCGGGGCAUGCCCCAGUACAAGCCAAAGUGUUGACCCAGGAUAGAAAUAUGGCCUGUAUCUUGCCCUGGAGGGCAAACCCUCCCCUCCUGGUACCCCUGAAACAUCUGUAUUACUCCCCGUGAGUCUUUGAGGCUGUAGAAUCACUGGAAGGAACUAAAUGUCAUCAAAGCGUUCCAGUGUUGCUGUCAGAUCAUGUGCGACACUCAGUGAUGGUCUGCCUGGGACUGAUGGAGUACAGAAUGGACCUGGACCUCAUGACUACAUACCUCCCAUAACAUCAUCGAGCACUGGCCCAUGAAAGAACAUAAACUUUCACCAAUCACUACUUGUCUUAAAUUGUGUCAACAUACAUUGUGAUGGGAAAUUGUAGUAGGAAAGACUCACCCUUUAGUUAACUCAAUCAUUGGUUCACUCUGUGAAGGGGUGGAGUGUAUGGGAACUGUUGAGUCACAGCCUGAACCUCUGACUGAUCACCUGAGGUGAGCACUGAGUCAGCCGCGGGAGCACAGGUGAAAGCAAUUCACCUGUGUGACUGAAAGGGGUGUAGCCUGGCUCCACCUCUCCUAGACCCCAUUUAAGAGCUGAGUGCCACUGAGGAAGGAUCUUUUUCUGGAGAUUGCACCUGUUGGAGUUUUUUUUCUGUGAGCCUACAACGUGGUUGAGCAUUUUUCCAUCUGUUUCAGAUUAUCCUUUUCCAAUGUAGUAAUCUUUCUAGCUUUACGAUCUGUGGAUACCCAUCUGACCAUGCUGUUUUGUGUAUUUGUUGAUUAUGCAACAGCAUUCUGUGUAUUUGGUGAUUCUACAGUACUACAAGGGAAUUUGAUGCUGGGGGAGUGUAGUCAGUGAUUCCAUAUAUACAUAUAUAUAUACUAUACAUAUAUAGAUAUAUAUAUAUAUAUGUAUAUAGAUAUGUACAUAUUUAAUGCAUGUUAAUUACUGUUUUGUUUGUAUAUAGAUAUAAGUUAAGCAUGAUGUAGUGAUGUGGAAUAAAG
RNAcentral lists this long non-coding RNA (2219 nucleotides) under Gallus gallus (chicken). RNAcentral describes it as "lncRNA (ENSGALG00010000941.1)". Lineage: Eukaryota; Metazoa; Chordata; Aves; Galliformes; Phasianidae. The record is from RNAcentral.